CGGGUGGUGAUAUAUAUAUGACAUCGGCAAUACGCACUAUUGCGUAACAUGCGUCGAAUCUGUGUACAUCCAUGAUCACCUGCUGGGUGCACAGGUGAGGUUGGAAAAUAUACUCUAGAGCAAUGGUUACAGAUAUAAGUUACGUAAUGCAUAUCUGUUUAACCUGUUUGAAUAAACAAUGGUCAAUACCUUACUGUCGGAUAUGGGGUUUACAGAAUAGAGAAAAGAGGACUGACAGUGCAGCUUAAAAAAGGGGGCGGAUACAAAAUAAUGUGUUUCUGAAUUAAAU
This 289-nucleotide long non-coding RNA is filed under the name Mytilus galloprovincialis (Mediterranean mussel). The record is from RNAcentral. Lineage: Eukaryota; Metazoa; Mollusca; Bivalvia; Mytilida; Mytilidae.